This 1284-nucleotide long non-coding RNA is filed under the name Coturnix japonica (Japanese quail). RNAcentral describes it as "lncRNA (ENSCJPG00005003624.1)". Lineage: Eukaryota; Metazoa; Chordata; Aves; Galliformes; Phasianidae. The record is from RNAcentral.
UGCUUCAUUCGGUGUUUUUCUCCUCACACUUUUAUUGCUGAGUGCUGGGAUGCUGCCCGCCUGCUGGGGGAUGCCAUCACUGUUCCUGUUUUGCUGGCUGUGACCAGCCGCUGUCCUCUGCUCCUGCAGCAGCUCCUGAUAACUGCUGUGAUGUAUUGCUGGAUGGACGGGGCUUGCACUGCCCUGCAGUCCCGCUGAUAUAAAAAUGCCUUUAAGAUCCUGCCUUUCCCAUCCUAAUCUACAAAGGAAACAGGAAAAAGGAACUUAAACUCCCUGUACUCAGACAGCAAUGAGACUGUUCCAGCCUGCUCUGUUGCUGCAGUUUCUUGCCUGUGUCUUGUAAACACGCCCAGCAUGCCGGAGGGGAACCACUGGUAAAACUUUGACCGGGGGAAGGAUACUCCAUGAGCUGCUGCAAGAACUGGAUGGAUAUAUUCUGGAAAGCAUGGACCCUUUGGCACCUCUGGUUCUGUAUGGAUUCAGCCUGAUUAUUUCAGGUGUUCCCACAGCAGGCGAGGGGAGGAGGGCUGGGAGCCAGGUAUCAAGGAGUGUGCUCUGCAUGCACAGUCUGCUGCCACCUCAUCCUAAGCACUGCAGUCACCUGUUGAUGCACACACACACACACUGCAAACCAGAUGCCGACUCUUUCUGUGGCUUACUUUGUGAACUGGCUGUGCAGCAGGAAGUGUUGGCACUUCCAGGUAUCCCAGUGUUAUACUGAUAUUUGGACUUGCUUUUCUCCUUGUUGAAACUCUCCCGUUGUUGUUUAGUGUCACUGGGUUCAUUAAACUGCCGAUCGUUCUCAGACCGUUCUUUCUUUUCAUCUUUUCCCUCCUAGACCCAUACACUAUCUCCCUCCUCUUCCCCUCUCUUGGAGCGCAUGUGGACGGGCCAUGCUGCACUCUGCUGUUAGAGAGGGAAGACAUUUUGUUCCUUCUCUCCCCGGGUCUGUUCCCGCUGUCACGGCGUGAGCUCUAGAGCUCUAGUGAGCUCUGUUUUUAAGGGGAUAUUUCUAACAGACAAGUGCUUGAUUCCUUUUCCUCCUACGUGACUCAGUGUUGUCUGAUUUCUUUGCUAAUGAUGUCAAAUGUGUCUUACACUCUUUUUCUUCUGUUUGUUCCUAAAUGAGGUGCAACUGUGUGGGAAGAAAGACCAACACUAACUGUUGUAGUCAUUAAAAGAGCGCCACAAGAGAUGAUUUUUCACUGCAGUCCUAAGUAGAUGAAGCUGUAAAAUCUAAAUAUCGUGAAUAAAUGCAAUGUAAUCUCGAGGAGUGCUGUGAAG